GAGGAUUCGCUUUCACGAGGACUAAUUCAGCUGACGUUUCACAGUGAUUUUGGUUAAGGGUGCCUCUAAGUCGGGCUGGCGACUUUAAAACUAGCGCUUGGUGGGAGGCAACCCACUGUUGGUUUAGUUUUUUUUGUUUUUGUUUUUCUUGUUCUUUGUUUUCCAUUUUUGUUUUGUGUUUUCCUAAGUUUUGGUUGCUUGUGCGGAUACUUUGAUUUUUGGGUGUUAAUGACUUUGUUUUCAGCGCUGCAAUUUUUGCUCUGACCUUGCUGCCAGCGCUGAAGACUGCCAGCGCUGCCCAGUCCAGCGCUGUCGUUUUUACUCUGCAAAAGGCCGCAAACCUCACUUUUCGCCGCCUCUCACGAUGUUUCAGCUUUUCAAUGCCGA
This 387-nucleotide long non-coding RNA is filed under the name Salvia miltiorrhiza (redroot sage). RNAcentral describes it as "long non-coding RNA (SMIL_LNC000089)". Lineage: Eukaryota; Viridiplantae; Streptophyta; Magnoliopsida; Lamiales; Lamiaceae. The record is from RNAcentral.